GGAAAGGCGAAAAGAACCCCGGCGAGGGGAGUGAAAAAGAACCUGAAACCGUGUACGUACAAGCAGUGGGAGCACAGGUUUACCUGUGUGACUGCGUACCUUUUGUAUAAUGGGUCAGCGACUUAUAUUCUGUAGCAAGGUUAACCGUAUAGGGGAGCCGUAGGGAAACCGAGUCUUAACCGGGCGUUAAGUUGCAGGGUAUAGACCCGAAACCCGGUGAUCUAGCCAUGGGCAGGUUGAAGGUUGGGUAACACUAACUGGAGGACCGAACCGACUAAUGUUGAAAAAUUAGCGGAUGACCUGUGGCUGGGGGUGAAAGGCCAAUCAAACCGGGAGAUAGCUGGUUCUCCCCGAAAGCUAUUUAGGUAGCGCCUCGUGAAUUCAUCUCCGGGGGUAGAGCACUGUUUCGGCUAGGGGGCCAUCCCGGCUUACCAACCCGAUGCAAACUGCGAAUACCGGAGAAUGUUAUCACGGGAGACACACGGCGGGUGCUAACGUCCGUCGUGAAGAGGGAAACAACCCAGACCGCCAGCUAAGGUCCCAAAGUCAUGGUUAAGUGGGAAACGAUGUGGGAAGGCCCAGACAGCCAGGAUGUUGGCUUAGAAGCAGCCAUCAUUUAAAGAAAGCGUAAUAGCUCACUGGUCGAGUCGGCCUGCGCGGAAGAUGUAACGGGGCUAAACCAUGCACCGAAGCUGCGGCAGCGAACGUAUCACCCAAGACAACUUUACGGAGUUGACGAUUGACGGAGCGAAGCGACGUCAAAGCGUUCAUUAAAGUCGAGUUGGCUUAGGGAUACGUUCGUUGGGUAGGGGAGCGUUCUGUAAGCCUGUGAAGGUGUGUCGUGAGGCAUGCUGGAGGUAUCAGAAGUGCGAAUGCUGACAUAAGUAACGAUAAAGCGGGUGAAAAGCCCGCUCGCCGGAAGACCAAGGGUUCCUGUCCAACGUUAAUCGGGGCAGGGUGAGUCGACCCCUAAGGCGAGGCCGAAAGGCGUAGUCGAUGGGAAACGGGUUAAUAUUCCCGUACUUGGUGUUACUGCGAAGGGGGGACGGAGAAGGCUAUGUUGGCCGGGCGACGGUUGUCCCGGUUUAAGCGUGUAGGUGUGUGUUCCAGGUAAAUCCGGUUCACUUUAACACUGAGGCGUGACGACGAGGCACUACGGUGCUGAAGCAACAAAUGCCCUGCUUCCAGGAAAAGCCUCUAAGCAUCAGGUAACACGAAAUCGUACCCCAAACCGACACAGGUGGUCAGGUAGAGAAUACCAAGGCGCUUGAGAGAACUCGGGUGAAGGAACUAGGCAAAAUGGUGCCGUAACUUCGGGAGAAGGCACGCUGACACGUAGGUGAAGUGAUUUACUCAUGGAGCUGAAGUCAGUCGAAGAUACCAGCUGGCUGCAACUGUUUAUUAAAAACACAGCACUGUGCAAACACGAAAGUGGACGUAUACGGUGUGACGCCUGCCCGGUGCCGGAA
RNAcentral lists this ribosomal RNA (1469 nucleotides) under Salmonella enterica subsp. enterica serovar Typhimurium. RNAcentral describes it as "partial 23S ribosomal RNA". It matches the Rfam family "Bacterial large subunit ribosomal RNA", at positions 508 to 1874 of the family's 2925-position model. The record is from RNAcentral. Lineage: Bacteria; Pseudomonadati; Pseudomonadota; Gammaproteobacteria; Enterobacterales; Enterobacteriaceae.